This 576-nucleotide ribosomal RNA is filed under the name Triticum aestivum (bread wheat). RNAcentral describes it as "partial small subunit ribosomal RNA". The record is from RNAcentral. Lineage: Eukaryota; Viridiplantae; Streptophyta; Magnoliopsida; Poales; Poaceae.
AUGGAGAGCUCCUCCUCGUCUCUGUUGCUGAGUUCGUACGCGGGCAGCAACAAGAGGGCCAGGGGUGCCGACCUUGAAGUUGUCUCGUCCGCUGAGGCGGAAGCCGCCAAGAGGAUGAGGCCCGAGGACCUACUGGACCUGCUCGACGACGACACCAACGCCGCGGCGGCCGGCGACCUGGCGUCCGUCAUGCGGAGCCUUGAGGAGGAGAUAUGCGCCGACGACCUGACGCCGCCUCAGCCAGAGCUAGGCUUCCUGCUCGAGGCCUCGGACGACGAGCUCGGCUUGCCGCCGGCGGCCGCGGCGUCCUCCUCGUCGGACGACGCCGAGGGCUGGGAGCCGGAGGUGACCGCCGGCGUGUUCGGGGAGCAGAUAUGGAGCUUCGAGGACGAGAUUGAGGGCGCCUACGCCUUCGGCGGCGUUGCCUACUCGCCGGAGGCCGCCGCGGCGACCGCAGCGGCCGAUGCUGAGUGGGGCGACGACGGCUUCGACGCCGGCCUGUUCGGCUUCGGCGACGAGUCCUUGGGGCCGUCCGAUGUCGACGUGCUUCGCCAGGAGACCAUGCCCGCCGUUUGA